This 253-nucleotide ribosomal RNA is filed under the name uncultured bacterium. RNAcentral's name for it is "partial 16S ribosomal RNA". It matches the Rfam family "Bacterial small subunit ribosomal RNA", at positions 524 to 776 of the family's 1533-position model. The record is from RNAcentral.
UACGUAGGGCGCAAGCGUUAUCCGGAAUUAUUGGGCGUAAAGAGCUCGUAGGCGGUUUGUCGCGUCUGCCGUGAAAGUCCGGGGCUCAACUCCGGAUCUGCGGUGGGUACGGGCAGACUAGAGUGAUGUAGGGGAGACUGGAAUUCCUGGUGUAGCGGUGAAAUGCGCAGAUACCAGGAGGAACACCGGUGGCGAAGGCGGGUCUCUGGGCCGUAACUGACGCUGAGGAGCGAAAGCAUGGGGAGCGAACAGG